RNAcentral lists this unclassified non-coding RNA (345 nucleotides) under soil metagenome. Its description in RNAcentral is "partial contains 5.8S ribosomal RNA, internal transcribed spacer 2, and large subunit ribosomal RNA". The stretch from base 1 to 120 matches the Rfam family "5.8S ribosomal RNA", at positions 35 to 154 of the family's 154-position model. The record is from RNAcentral.
GAUGAAGAACGUAGCGAAAUGCGAUAAGUAAUGCGAAUUGCAGAAUUCAGUGAGUCAUCGAAUCUUUGAACGCACAUUGCGCCCCCUGGUAUUCUGGGGGGCAUGCCUGUCCGAGCGUCAUUGCUGCCCUCAAGCACGGCUUGUGUGUUGGGCCUCCGUCCUCCUCCCGGGGGACGGGCCCGAAAGGCAGCGGCGGCACCGCGUCCGGUCCUCGAGCGUAUGGGGCUUCGUCACCCGCUCUUGUAGGCCCGGCCGGCGCUUGCCGACACAUCAAUCUUUUUUCCAGGUUGACCUCGGAUCAGGUAGGGAUACCCGCUGAACUUAAGCAUAUCAAUAAGCGGAGGA